GAUCAUGGCUCAGGAUGAACGCUGGCGGCGUGCUUAACACAUGCAAGUCGAACGGACGAUGAAGAGCUUGCUUUUCAGAGUUAGUGGCGGACGGGUGAGUAACGCGUGGGUAACCUGCCUCAUACAGGGGGAUAACAGUUGGAAACGACUGCUAAUACCGCAUAAGCGCACAGGAUUGCAUGAUCCAGUGUGAAAAACUCCGGUGGUAUGAGAUGGACCCGCGUCUGAUUAG
Molecule: ribosomal RNA, 232 nt
Filed under: uncultured bacterium
Lineage: Bacteria
Description: partial 16S ribosomal RNA
Rfam family: Bacterial small subunit ribosomal RNA
Source: RNAcentral